CAGCAGAGUCAUAUUCCAUCAGAGAAGUUGUCCUCAUAUAUUUCACAGUUGUAUCAAGCUUGGUUUCCUAAAUGAAGUUGCAAUCAAGAUAGAAAAUAAAUGAUGAAUGGAAAAUUAACUGCAGGAGAUCAAACAGGAAUCAGCAUGGGCACCUGGGGGUGUGGAGGAAAGCUUCAUUUUAAGGAGGGGAGUGCUGUUGCAGGCUGGAUUGCUGCUGUCCCCUGCCUGACUGCCUAAACCUGCAUAUCUCAAGUUUCCCAGGUCACAAGGUUAUUCAUAUUUGCUUCCAUUAUAGCCUCUGCUACGGCACUAAUGCAUCACUCCUUUUGUGUUUGCCAGGAGGAAACACAUGGCAUUAGUCUGCCUGCAGUCUACACAGACAAGGAAGGUUUCAUAUUGGAUCAGACAGUUUUUGUUGUGUUCACUCCAGCUUCAUGUUAAAUGGAAAAGAUGCAGGUGAUGCAGGUGACCUGUCUGUCAGACAGAGACUGCUCUACAAAUACCAUUUUUGAGAACCUGCACUAUUUAAUAGACCAUCUGUGUUUGGUCACUGAGGAACUUGGCACGUCCCAGGCAGCUGCAGAGGCUGGGAGCCAUGGCCCAGAGAUGAUAUGAACCUCUUCACUCUGAUACAGCAACAUGAUCCACUGAGGUAAGAGCCA
Long non-coding RNA from Cyanistes caeruleus (blue tit), 662 nucleotides. The record is from Ensembl. NCBI's taxonomy places the organism in Eukaryota, Metazoa, Chordata, Aves, Passeriformes, Paridae.